AACCAGUGAUAGCCUCAAAGUUACAUAAUGAUAUUAAGGCACAUAAAGACCUUGUACAUUUUGAGAGUGCUUAUGUUGUGAAAAUACACAAUGUAGCAAGACUCGCACCAACUCAACCAGUUUUUACCUUCACUCAUCCAAAACACUAUGAUAAAGAAAGCAAUCAGUGCUAUAAAAAGCUGCAGUUUGUGAUACCUAACGACAAAAGUGGUUCUUA
This is a non-coding RNA of Arachis ipaensis, 217 nucleotides long. The record is from RefSeq and is a predicted model, not a curated record. NCBI's taxonomy places the organism in Eukaryota, Viridiplantae, Streptophyta, Magnoliopsida, Fabales, Fabaceae.